This 72-nucleotide transfer RNA is filed under the name Ovis aries (sheep). It matches the Rfam family "tRNA". Rfam says of the family: Transfer RNA (tRNA) molecules are approximately 80 nucleotides in length. Their secondary structure includes four short double-helical elements and three loops (D, anti-codon, and T loops). Lineage: Eukaryota; Metazoa; Chordata; Mammalia; Artiodactyla; Bovidae. The record is from Rfam by way of RNAcentral.
UCCCUGGUGGCUGAGACAGUAAAGAAUCUGCCUGCAAUGCAGGAGAUAUGGGUUCAAUUCCUGGCUUGGGAA